Molecule: ribosomal RNA, 342 nt
Filed under: uncultured Planctomycetota bacterium
Lineage: Bacteria; Pseudomonadati; Planctomycetota
Description: bacterial SSU rRNA
Rfam family: Bacterial small subunit ribosomal RNA
Source: RNAcentral
AACGAACGCUGGCGGCGUGGCUAAAACAUGCAAGUCGCACGAGAAAGGCGGGGCAACUCGCCGAGUAAAGUGGCGGAAGGGUGAGGAAUAUAUGGGUAACGUACCCUUGGCACCGGGAUAGCCGCGGGAAACUGCGGGUAAUACCGGAUGAGACCACGAUGUCACAUGGCAUUGCGGUCAAUGGGCGGGGAUCCGCAAGGACCUGUCGGCCUUGGAGUGGCCCAUAUCCUAUCAGCUAGUUGGUGAGGUAACGGCCCACCAAGGCUUUGACGGGUACCGGGACUGAGAGGUUGGCCCGGCACAUUGGCAAUGAGACACUGGCCAGACUCCUACGGGAGGCAG